AGGUUAAGUAGAAAAGGGCACACGGUGAAUGCCUUGGCACUAGGAGCCGAUGAAGGACGGGACCAACACCGAUAUGCUCUGGGGAGCUGUAAGUAAGCUAGGAUCCAGAGAUUUCCGAAUGGGGAAACCCCGCAUUUUUAAUCGAAUGUGGCUUGAUCUGUGAAUACAUAGCAGGCAAGCGGUAGACGCAGGGAACUGAAACAUCUUAGUACCUGCAGGAAGAAAAAGAAAACUCGAUUCCCUGAGUAGCGGCGAGCGAAACGGGAAGAGCCCAAACCAGGAUGCUUGCAUCUUGGGGUUGUAGGACGUUAACAGCACAAGAAAAAGGGCAGCCAAAGGAUCUGGAACGAUCCGCCAGAGCGGGUAAGAGCCCCGUAGGCGAAGGCCGGCAACUUGUUUUAACGGAUCCUGAGUACGGCGGCACACGCGAAAUGCCGUCGGAAACCGGGAGGACCAUCUCCCAAGGCUAAAUACUCCCUAGUGACCGAUAGUGAACCAGUACCGUGAGGGAAAGGUGAAAAGCACCCCGGAAGGGGAGUGAAAGAGAUCCUGAAACCGUGUGCUUACAACAAGUUAGAGCCCGUUAAUGGGUGAUAGCGUGCCUUUUGCAGAAUGAACCGGCGAGUUGCGUUGGCUGGCGAGGUUAAGUCGUAAAAAGACGGAGCCGCAGCGAAAGCGAGUCUGAAAUGGGCGCUUUGAGUCAGUCGACGCAGACCCGAAACCAGGUGAUCUACCCAUGUCCAGGUUGAAGGUGCGGUAAAACGCACUGGAGGACCGAACCCACGUACGUUGAAAAGUGCGGGGAUGAGGUGUGGGUAGCGGAGAAAUUCCAAACGAACUUGGAGAUAGCUGGUUCUCUCCGAAAUAGCUUUAGGGCUAGCGUCGAGGAACGAAUGAUGGAGGUAGAGCACUGUUUGGACGAGGGGCCCCUUUCGGGUUACCGAAUGCAGAUAAACUCCGAAUGCCAUUCAUUUUGCCUCGGCAGUCAGACGGUGAGUGAUAAGAUCCAUCGUCGAAAGGGAAACAGCCCAGACCACCAGCUAAGGCCCCUAAAUGUAUGUUAAGUGGAAAAGGAGGUGGGGUUGCUCAGACAACUAGGAUGUUGGCUCAGAAGCAGCCAUCAUUGAAAGAGUGCGUAAUAGCUCACUAGUCGAGUGACCCUGCGCCGAAAAUUUACCGGGGCUAAACAUACUGCCGAAGCUGUGGAAUGCACCCUUAGGGUGCAUUGGUAGGAGAGCGUUCUAAGGGCAGAGAAGGCAGAUCGUAAGGACUGCUGGAGCGCUUAGAAGUGAGAAUGCCGGUAUGAGUAGCGAAAGACAGGUGAGAAUCCUGUCCACCGUAAGACUAAGGUUUCCUGGGGAAGGCUCGUCCGCCCAGGGUUAGUCGGGACCUAAGCUGAGGCCGAAAGGCGUAGGCGAUGGCCAACAGGUUGAUAUUCCUGUACCUGUUGUCUUCAUUUGAGUGAUGGAGGGACGCAGGAGGCAAAAGAAAGCAGACGAAUGGAAAGGUCUGUCCAAGCAGUGAGUCGGAGAAAGAGUGAAAGGCUUUUUCUUGUCAACGACCAGCUGUGACGGGGAGGGAAAUUUAAGUACCGAAGUUCUGGCGUCACACUGCCAAGAAAAACUUCUAGCAAGAAGGCAAUGGCCCGUACCGCAAACCGACACAGGUAGUCGAGGAGAGUAUCCUCAGGUGAGCGAGCGAACUCUCGUUAAGGAACUCGGCAAAAUGACCCCGUAACUUCGGGAGAAGGGGUGCUGCUCUAACGAGCAGCCGCAGUGAAUAGGCCCAAGCGACUGUUUAUCAAAAACACAGGUCUCUGCAAAAUCGUAAGAUGACGUAUAGGGGCUGACGCCUGCCCGGUGCUGGAAGGUUAAGAGGAGUGCUUAGCGUAAGCGAAGGUACGAAUUGAAGCCCCAGUAAACGGCGGCCGUAACUAUAACGGUCCUAAGGUAGCGAAAUUCCUUGUCGGGUAAGUUCCGACCCGCACGAAAGGCGUAACGAUUUGGGCACUGUCUCAACGAGAGACUCGGUGAAAUUUUAGUACCUGUGAAAAUGCAGGUUACCCGCGACAGGACGGAAAGACCCCAUGGAGCUUUACUGUAAUUUGAUAUUGCGUGUCUGUACCGCAUGUACAGGAUAGGUAGGAGCCGUAGAAUUCGGGACGCGAGUCUCGAAGGAGGCAUCAGUGGGAUACUACCCUUGCGUUAUGGCCACUCUAACCCGCGCCACUCAGCGUGGCGGGAGACAGUGUCAGAUGGGCAGUUUGACUGGGGCGGUCGCCUCCCAAAAGGUAACGGAGGCGCCCCAAGGUUCCCUCAGAAUGGUUGGAAAUCAUUCAACGAGUGUAAAGGCAGAAGGGAGCUUGACUGCGAGACAGACAAGUCGAGCAGGGACGAAAGUCGGGCUUAGUGAUCCGGUGGUUCCGCAUGGAAGGGCCAUCGCUCAACGGAUAAAAGCUACCCUGGGGAUAACAGGCUUAUCUCCCCCAAGAGUCCACAUCGACGGGGAGGUUUGGCACCUCGAUGUCGGCUCGUCGCAUCCUGGGGCUGUAGUCGGUCCCAAGGGUUGGGCUGUUCGCCCAUUAAAGCGGCACGCGAGCUGGGUUCAGAACGUCGUGAGACAGUUCGGUCCCUAUCCGUCGCGGGCGUAGGAAAUUUGCGAGGCGCUGUCCUUAGUACGAGAGGACCGGGAUGGACCUACCGCUGGUGUACCAGUUGUCGUGCCAACGGCAUCGCUGGGUAGCUAUGUAGGGCAGGAAUAAACGCUGAAAGCAUCUAAGCGUGAAGUCCCCCUCAAGAUGAGAUUUCCCCUUUCUUCAAAGAAAGUAAGAUCCCUGAAAGAAGAUCAGGUAGAUAGGUCCGAAGUGGAAGACCCGUGAGGGUUGGAGCGGACGGAUACUAAUCGAUCGAGGACUUAACCACAG
This 2923-nucleotide ribosomal RNA is filed under the name Tetragenococcus koreensis. RNAcentral's name for it is "23S ribosomal RNA". It matches the Rfam family "Bacterial large subunit ribosomal RNA". The record is from RNAcentral. Lineage: Bacteria; Bacillati; Bacillota; Bacilli; Lactobacillales; Enterococcaceae.